RNAcentral lists this ribosomal RNA (459 nucleotides) under uncultured bacterium. RNAcentral's name for it is "partial 16S ribosomal RNA". It matches the Rfam family "Bacterial small subunit ribosomal RNA", at positions 338 to 795 of the family's 1533-position model. The record is from RNAcentral.
CCUACGGGAGGCAGCAGUGAGGAAUAUUGGUCAAUGGACGAAAGUCUGAACCAGCCAAGUCGCGUGAAGGAUGACGGUCCUAUGGAUUGUAAACUUCUUUUAUAAGGGAGCAAAGUGCGCCACGUGUGGGGUUUUGUGAGUACCUUAAGAAAAAGCAUCGGCUAACUCCGUGCCAGCAGCCGCGGUACUACGGAGGAUGCGAGCGUUAUCCGGAUUUAUUGGGUUUAAAGGGGGCGUAGGCGGAAUGUAAAGUCAGUGGUAAAAUUUUGGGGCUCAACCCCGUCGUGCCGUUGAAACUGGCAGUCGUGAGUGAGCGAGAGGUAUGCGGAAUGCGUGGUGUAGCGGUGAAAUGCUUAGAUAUCACGCAGAACUCCGAUUGCGAAGGCAGCAUACUGGCGCGCAACUGACGCUGAGGCACGAAAGUGUGGGUAUCAAACAGGAUUAGAUACCCCAGUAGUC